This 1122-nucleotide long non-coding RNA is filed under the name Homo sapiens (human). RNAcentral describes it as "long non-coding RNA NONHSAT207307.1". The record is from RNAcentral. Lineage: Eukaryota; Metazoa; Chordata; Mammalia; Primates; Hominidae.
GUUAGAGGAGGCCUCAGGCCUAAGGUGGUGCAGGGGGCCCCCUAGGGGCUGGGCAGUGCCAAGGCAUAAAAGCCUUCCCUGGUCCCUGGUGGCAUUUGAAGGUGCCCAGGUGAGAGGGGCUUGGCACCUCCUCACCCUGGGAGGGAGAAGAAACCAGGGAACAGGUAGGAGUGGGAGACAGGUGAGGCUUUGGAAAUCUAUUGAGGCUCUGGAGAGAUUUGUGUAGAGAGGAAAAUGUGGUUCUCCCCCAGGGUCUCCUCCUGGGUUUUUACCCUCUAAGCAACCUGUGGGCAUGCUGGGUUAUUCCUAAGGACUAGAAGAGCUUGGAUGGGGGAGGGUGGUUGGUGCCCUUCGGUCCUCGGCACCCCCCUCCGUCUCCAACACCAGCUCACCCUGGUAUUUGUCAUGUCAGCAGGAGAAGGUCACCAUGUUGUUUUUCUCGCCCCUAGUCCUUCCUUCCUGCCCCAGUCCAAAUUUGUCCUCCUAUUUGACCUUAAUACUUACCAUGGCUUUGGACCAGGGAACUAGGGGGAUAGUGAGAGCAGGGAGAGGGAAGUGUGGGGAAGGUACAGGGGACCUCGACAGUGAAGCAUUCUGGGGUUUUCCUCCUGCAUUUCGAGCUCCCCAGCCCCCAACAUCUGGUUAGUCUUUAACUUCCUCGGGUUCAUAACCAUAGCAGUCCAGGAGUGGUGGGCAUAUUCUGUGCCCGUGGGGACCCCCGGUUGUGUCCUGUUCGACUCAGAAGACUUGGAGAAGCCAGAGGCUGUUGGUGGGAGGGAAGUGAGGAGGGAGGAGGGGCUGGGUGGCUGGGCCUGUGCACCCCAGCCCCUGCCCAUGCCCAUGCCUUGCUCUCUUUCUGUCCUCAGUGGUCCCAGGCUGCACCCAUGGCAGAAGGAGGAGGGCAGAAUCAUCACGAAGUGGUGAAGUUCAUGGAUGUCUAUCAGCGCAGCUACUGCCAUCCAAUCGAGACCCUGGUGGACAUCUUCCAGGAGUACCCUGAUGAGAUCGAGUACAUCUUCAAGCCAUCCUGUGUGCCCCUGAUGCGAUGCGGGGGCUGCUGCAAUGACGAGGGCCUGGAGUGUGUGCCCACUGAGGAGUCCAACAUCACCAUGCAGAUUAUGC